UAACACGUGGAUAACCUACCCUUGGGACUGGAAUAACCCCGGGAAACUGGGGAUAAUACCGGAUAGAUCAGGGAUGCUGGAAUGCACCUUGAUCCAAAGCUCCGGCGCCCAAGGAUGGGUCUGCGGCCUAUCAGGUAGUAGUGGGUGUAACGUACCUACUAGCCAACGACGGGUACGGGUUGUGAGAGCAAGAGCCCGGAGAUGGAUUCUGAGACACGAAUCCAGGCCCUACGGGGUGCAGCAGGCGCGAAACCUUUACAAUGUGCGAAAGCAUGAUAAGGGAACUCCGAGUGCCAGUAUCUAAUACUGGCUGUCCUUGUGCCUAAAACGCACAAGAUAGCAAGGGCCGGGUAAGACCGGUGCCAGCCGCCGCGGUAACACCGGCGGCCCGAGUGGUAGCCGCUAUUAUUGGGUCUAAAGGGUCCGUAGCCGGUUCGAUAAGUCCUCUGGGAAAUCUGGUUGCUUAACAAUCAGACUGCCAAGGGAUACUGUCGAACUUGAGACCGGGAGAGGUAAGAGGUACUUCAGGGGUAGGAGCGAAAUCUUGUAAUCCCUGGGGGACCAUCUGUGGCGAAGGCGUCUUACCAGAACGGGUCUGACGGUGAGGGACGAAAGCUGGGGGCGCAAACCGGAUUAGAUACCCGGGUAGUCCCAGCCGUAAACGAUGCUCGCUAUGUGUCAGGUACGGUGUGACCGUAUCUGGUGCCGUAGGGAAGCCGUGAAGCGGGCCACCUGGGAAGUACGGCCGCAAGGCUGAAACUUAAAGGAAUUGGCGGGGGAGCACUGCAACGGGUGGAGCCUGCGGUUUAAUUGGAUUCAACGCCGGAAAUCUUACCGGGGGAGACAGCAGCAUGAAGGUCAGGCUGAAGACCUUACCAGAUCCGCUGAGAGGAAGUGCAUGGCCGUCGUCAGUUCGUACUGUGAAGCAUCCUGUUAAGUCAGGCAACGAGCGAGACCCGUGCCCACAGUUGCCAGCGUACCCUUCGGGGUGAUGGGUACUUUGUGGGGACCGCCGCUGCUAAAGCGGAGGAAGGAGCGGGUUACGGUAGGUCAGUAUGCUCCGAAACUCCCGGGCUACACGCGGGCUACAAUGGUUGGGACAAUG
RNAcentral lists this ribosomal RNA (1105 nucleotides) under uncultured archaeon. Its description in RNAcentral is "bacterial SSU rRNA". It matches the Rfam family "Archaeal small subunit ribosomal RNA", at positions 94 to 1200 of the family's 1478-position model. The record is from RNAcentral.